AACAUUACGCAGUCAGCACAUAGUGCGCAGCAGAAGGAGAAGAGCAGGAAACUUUCCAGAACAAUAUGAAAACGUGUCUAAAUACUAUUUUUGUUGUCUGAAGAAAGUGCAAAGAAGUUAUUUUUGAUUUUCCACCGUGUUCCUGUUUUGGAGAUGUUUUAUUUUCUAGAACGGGACUUGGCCAAUUAGAUUGGGUUGAAGAACUAUCGCGAUAGAUCGACAUAAGAGAACAUGUGCAGGAGCACAUGUGCUUGAGAUAAAGAUGGCGAGCCACCCAUGGAACCUGUGAACUGCGCAUGCGCCAGGACCAGUUCAGGAGCAACAAGCCCUCUGCUGACCGGUGCAUGGUACUACAACUGAAUGUUUUAGGUUGCUUGAACCUGACAUUAAUUUGGUCCUUCGAGCCAGAUACCAAAACACCUGAGGAUUCCAGCUGAGGAAACGACAACCAGAAAGACCGUGGCCACGGCAAACAGACCCUUUCCGGGACUGGCUCUCGUCUCACUGGCUGGAGUCUGAUGGUUGACGGUAUACCUCGGAGAGGGAAGACAACUUGGUGAGUAAUAUUUCCUUAGGGGGGAUUAAAAGAGAAUGAGUGAAACGUGUUUAAGAAAAGACAAGCAGAGUCAAUAAAAGCCCGCUAGGCCUGCUUAGAGUGAAACCUUGUGAAUACUAGUCAAUGGCAAGUAAUUGAAGGACACCGAAUUCCGAUAAAUUCCGUGGUAAAGAUGGACACUGAAUUCCGAUAAAUUCCGUGGUAAAGAUGGACACCGGAUUCCCAUAAAUUUCAUGGUAAAGAGGGAUGCCGGAUUCCGACAAAUUCCGUGGUAAUAACAGGACGGCGGAGUCCUACGCGCAUUUAAAUUCCGUGUUGUGUGCUUGUGAGUGUGAGUGGAGACGAAGUUUCACUAGAAACUUAUCUCAUACCAAAGCGGUGAGAUUGUAAGUGGUGACUUGUUGUGGAAGCAGAGGCAAGAAUUCUCCGCCCCCACUGGGGUAGAAGCUUGAGAAUUACCACAAUAAGACCAUUUUUCACCACCUCACUGACAGAAAGAAAACCCCAGUUAUUAGAAUUCCCUAGGAAUUAACAUCAUAACUGGGACCAAAUUGAAUUAAAAUGGGAAAUGGAAAAAGUAAAACAAACUAUAAAGAUAACUUACAGAGUAAAGACUGGCGAUUCGUUGAAAAACAAGAUUCAACAAAGUUAAAAUACAUGGAUAAAUGGGUGUCUAAAUACGGGUAUGAUGGCCAAUUAAAUUCCCCAAAAAUAGUGUCGUUACAGGACUAGAUACUUUAGUGGAUGAAAAAUAAUGAUAAAAAGAAAAUAAUUAUAAAAAGAUGAAAAAAGAAGGAUAUGAAGAGACAGUUUUGGCUUAAUACAGCUCAAAAAAGAGAAGAAGGAGAAAAAGAAAAGAAAAACAAAAAAGAAACGUGUGUGUAAAAAGAAAAGAAAAAAGGAACAGCAAAGGUGGAAACAGAAGGUUGAGAAGUUAAAAAUAAGAGAGAAGGAACUGAGGAAGUGAAAGUUAAAGAUAGAGAAGAGGAUAAUAAGAUAGUAAAUGUUAAAAGGACUGAGUAAAGUAGGGAAGAAAGACAGCAAGGCAGACCCUCACUGGAUCCUCUCUUGCUGGUGUCUCCACCACGAUAUGAGGAGCAGUGUAGUGAUAUUACACAGCAGAGAACUGGAACACCGAGUGCAAGGCCUGAUCAACCGAACCACUCGACGUUUGCUAAAAAGAGCAGAUGACACCGCCAUGGGUAGAACUAAACAACAACUAGAUGAAACAUUUGAUGUUUACAGAGCCACAAUGAUAACGGUAUUUAAAACAAAGUGGCUAACGGGAUAAUGAUGACCCACAGGGUCGUUAUAACAACAGCUAAAAAAUGUGUUACACGCUAAUUCAAAAGACGCUAUAAGAAAUUGGUUCUUCAAAUAUUGCAUACAUUUUGCAACAGGCAUGCUAGAAGAAUAUGUUAAACAUGCCAUACAUGGGGAAAGAAAAUGACAAAGGAAAAAUCUUAGGCUUAAAAAUGAAGAUACCUUCAUAAAUGAAGAAGGUCAAAUAUACUUUCAAAGUAACGCACUAAACAGGAGGAUUUGGAAGAGGACAAUUUAGACAAAAUGUGUCAGGCUGUUGGUGUUGUGGAAAAGAAGGGCAUAUUGGACGCAAUUGUUAAAAAAUAAAUAAAUAAAUAAAAUUAAAAGUAAAUAAACACCAAGAAAUCAUACACUGUGUGACUAGGCCAGCCUGCUCCCACAGCAGAAGAAAGGGACACUUCUGAGUCAAUGAACAAAAACAAAAACAAUUUAUAAGAGUUGUAAAUCCUGCUGUGGUAGUACUAGUAGUACCACAAACAGUAUGGAAAGGCAUGUCAGUUGCCCAUUUUGUUGGUACCAAAAUGUCCUGUCAAUCUGCUGUGGAGAGAUGGCUUGUCAGCCCUGGGACUAGCUUUAGUUCCAACUAGCGAUGGAAACAUCAUUGUUAAAAGGCAACAUGAAAUAAAAGACUCAUUUGCAGUAAAAGCGGAAGAAUUCCCUUCCUACUAUUAUUCAUUGGACAUACCAAACAAACCACCUCAGAGUGGGAACCAAUCGUCUACAGGAGGGACAAGCGUUACUGCAAAAUAUUGAGGACACAAUGACUAGCGACAACUUACACAUAACUCUGUACUACCGAGGUACUUUAGGCCAAAUCCAGAAUAUGAAAAACAAUUGGCGAGCAACACCAGGAGUUGUACUCAUUGAUUACAUCUAUUCAGAUGGAUCAACUACUGCGAUAGCAGGAACACCACAUGUGUCACUCUACAAGGCAAAAGGUGAAAAAUGGAAAGAUUUAACAGAAAUAGUACAAUUGGGACAACAAACCACUGACUGGGUGCAAACACCUGAAGGAGUCGACAGAAGUGAUAUUACAGGUUUACUAUUACAGGCGGUAAACAAUGCAGUGAUUCAAAGAGCACCAUGUGUACCUGAUCCACAUACGCUUUUAAAUUCGUUAAGGCCUGAUGCCACUUAUUUUACAGUAGUGGAUAUAAGCAAUGCUUUCUUUUCAGUACCAGUAGAUAAAGAAAGCCAAUUCUGGUUUGCUUUUACCUUUGGAGGAAAACGUUACACCUAUACAAGGUUACCCCGGGGGUAUUGUGAAAGCCCCACUAUUUAUUUACAAGCCAUGACUGCUAGCAUGGCCAAGUUCAGUACACUCAGGCAGCUGAAUUAGUUGCAUUAACGGAAGCCUGUAAAUGAAUGAAAGAUAAAACAGUAACUAUAUGCACCGAUAGCCAAUAUGCAUAUGCUACUGUGCACACAUUUGCCCAAUAUUGGAGAAGCAGGGGCACGGUAACAUUGACAGGCAAGCCAGAUACAGAUGCGCACCUGUUACAGGAGUUAUUAGAUGCUGUUUAAUUACCAUUAAAACUUGCAAUUUGUAAAUGUGCUGCACACACCAACGGGCACUAAUAAAACCACAAAAGGAAAUGCAUUUGCAGAUAACAUGACUAAAGUUACUGCUGGAAAUUAAAUGACCGUAUUGACAGCACCACAACACCACCUAGAUAAUGAGGUUCUCAAAGGCAUGCAAUAACAAAUUCGUAGUCUGAAAUUAAAAUUUGGAAAAGAAAAGGGGCUACACUUAAAAAUGCCAUCUAUGUUGACCAAAAUUUGAAGCAUAUUUUUCCAAAAAUGUAUAUAGAUGGGAGGCUAUUUUGAGCCAUGGUGUGUCACAUGUCUCAACAGGAGGGAUGGUUAGUCAGAUACAUCAAUAUUUUACCACCUAUGGCUUUAAUGCAUAUUCAAAAAAUGUUUGUAGAGCCUGUCUAACAUGCGCAAAGCACAAUCCGAAAGGCAAUUUUCGCCCGCGACGCGGUCGGUUUCCAACACCGCAAUAUCCUUUCCAGGUAAUACAUAUGGACUUCAUAGAGCUAAACAAAAGCGAAGGAAGGAAAUUUUGUUUGGUCAUCAUAGAUGCAUUUUCUAAAUGGAUAGAACUCUUUCCAACAAAGAAUCCUGAUGCCUUGACGGUGGUAAAAGCACUAUGUAAAGAUAUUAUACCACGAUAUGGUAUACCUGACACGCUUUAUAGUGAUAAUGGCUCUCAUUUUGUAAACCGGAUAAUACAAAAAAUAGGAACAAUGUUCCAUAUUAACUUAAAAAAUCAUUGUGCUUACCACCCUCAAAGCGCAGGACUAGUGGAACGAAUGAAUGGAACAAUAAAAAAUAGACUCAAAAAGUGUAUGGAGGAAACAGGGAGACCAAAGACACAAAGUCUUGAUCUCGUUAAAUUAUAUAUUAAUAUAACUGCUUCAAAUGGAUUAACACCAUUUGAAAUUUUAUUUGGAAGACCAUAUAGACUACCAUACUUCAAAAGUCAAUGGGAAGCUGAUGAUGACGCUAAUCUCGCUGACUAUACGCUUGUUGGAAAGGCAAAAUAAUAUAUGUCAACCUGCUGAGGAUUCUACUGUCUCCCAGCAGGAGAUUCAGUUAGUUCAACCAGGAGAUUGGGUCCUCAUCAAAAGCAUCAAAAAGAAGCACUGGCAUUUACCCAAGUGGGAAGGUCCCUACUAAGUAUCAUUGACAACACAAACAGCCCUAAAAGUAACUGAAAGAUCAACAUGGAUUAAUUUGAAACAUUGUAAAAAGGUCCUUUCAGCAGAGAAACCCCGACGGGAAAGGUGAGCAAAGGUCUGACAAUAAGGUGGGUGCAGACAUUUAGAGUCUGAAAAUACCUGACGGUCAGUGAAGAACGUACAAGACACCAAUCCUAGUAGAGGCGGAACUCCUAAGGUUCUCUGUGAAAUGACGGUAAUAAGAGCAAAGUAUUUUGUAAGUGAUAGAUAACUAUUAUGUUCAUAAUGGACAUAGGGCUGCUUGUAUGGGAUCAGACUAAUAACCUCAAAAAUGCAGACACAGUUGCCACUAAUGUAACAACACUAACAGAUAGGCCAAAGUGAAGCACAUCAAAGACAGUACAUGCACCAUGGAUUGUUAGUUGGGCGUAUAGAAAUUCUAUCCAUAUGACUAUUGGUCCGAACACAAGCACAGUGGUUAGGAGACAAGGAUCCUAUAUACAUUGAUGCCAUUGAUGUUCUCUGUGGCGUGCCUGAUGAAUAGAAAUUAGUAAAUUAGAUUGCGGCUGGAUGGGAAUCCAUAUUUCCAUGGAUUACCGUCAAUAAAAACGUAGACAGGAUUAACUACAUCCACUACAAUGUUCACAAUUUGGGAAAUUGGACACAAGUUGGAUUUGAAGCGGUCAAAGAACAACUUAAAGCCACGUCCCUGAUGGCUUACCAAAAUGGGAUUGCGGUGGACAUGUUGUUAACAAAGGAAGGAGGUGUGUGUGCAGUGUUUGGAGAACAAUGCUGUACCUUCAUUCCCAACAACACUGCUGCUGAUGGCAGCCUGACUCAGGCCAUUCAAGGCCUCCGCACCCUGAAUGGUAAGAUGAAGGAACACUCUGGAGUGGAAACCUCAUGGUGGGACAGUUGGCUUGAUAUGUUUGGCAAGUACAAAUCCUUGGUGUCAUCUCUAUUGAUGUCAAGUGCUGUUUUUGCAGCAAUCGUAACCUUGUGUGGAUGUUGUGUUAUUCCCUGUGUGGGGGGUCUAUUUAACAAAAUGAUAAAUGCAGCUAUUUCACCCAUGGAAACUAAAAUGGCACAAAUGUAUUUGUUAGUUGGAUCUGGAAGGGAACGAGAGAGAGAUGGAGACAGCUAUAGACA
Dunckerocampus dactyliophorus (ringed pipefish) is the source of this 5712-nucleotide long non-coding RNA. RefSeq lists it as uncharacterized. The record is from RefSeq and is a predicted model, not a curated record. The transcript is spliced from 3 exons. Lineage: Eukaryota; Metazoa; Chordata; Actinopteri; Syngnathiformes; Syngnathidae.